This 468-nucleotide ribosomal RNA is filed under the name uncultured bacterium. RNAcentral's name for it is "partial 16S ribosomal RNA". It matches the Rfam family "Bacterial small subunit ribosomal RNA", at positions 28 to 507 of the family's 1533-position model. The record is from RNAcentral.
GACGAACGCUGGCGGCGUGCUUAACACAUGCAAGUCGAACGGAAAGGCCCUGCUUUUGUGGGGUGCUCGAGUGGCGAACGGGUGAGUAACACGUGAGUAACCUGCCCUUGACUUUGGGAUAACUUCAGGAAACUGGGGCUAAUACCGGAUAGGAGCUCCUGCUGCAUGGUGGGGGUUGGAAAGUGUCGGCGGUUGGGGAUGGACUCGCGGCUUAUCAGCUUGUUGGUGGGGUAGUGGCUUACCAAGGCUUUGACGGGUAGCCGGCCUGAGAGGGUGACCGGCCACAUUGGGACUGAGAUACGGCCCAGACUACUACGGGAGGCAGCAGUAGGGAAGAUUGAACAAUGGGCGGAAGACUGAUGCAGAAACGCCGCGUGCGGGAUGACGGCCUUCGGGUUGUAAACCGCUUUCGCCUGUGACGAAGCGUGAGUGACGGUAAUGGGUAAAGAAGCACCGGCUAACUACGUG